AUACGGGGUUCGCCAUCCCGAGAGGGGAGAACAGACUGUGAAACCGGCAGGACCGGCCUCCCCACGGUUAGCUCCGAGUCUCCCGCAGCUUGGCCCUCAGUCCCCUGUGGCUGCAAGAUGGCCGCUGGGCCAGCAGCGAGGACCCCCACGUCCCGUCCGGCCCAUCCGGUCCUGUCCCUGGGCAGCGCCCUGCUCUGCGCCCACAGCCAUGAGUAUUUCCCAAAUUGUUCAGGGAGGCCAGAUGGGUCAUCAGGGAAAAACCGCGAGUGGGUGUUUGCGUGGGAGGAGCUGCGGCCCGUGGGGUCCACAGUCUCUCGUGUUAAAAAUUAACGGGAGUCUAUGUUAAAAGGUUCAUCAGUUUAUCUGAACAAAGAGUGAUUGGUGAAAUGGAAAGCACCCAGCCAUGAUUUCUGGUCCACCAGAGGGGCAUAAAGGAAAGGCUUUCAUAAGAUGCAUGAGAAAGCAACCCAAAUUCAAGAAUUGGUUCCAGUUAUAUGGUAGCCUUAUUUGAACUAUCCAGAUGGAAAUGUCCUGGUUACAUAUUCAGAGGUUAAUUGCAUGUUUGUCAUGGGUUAAACCUGCAUUUUGCUUCAGGCUAAGAUAGUGUUUUAUAGGAAAUAUAUUUGAGUUAGGUUUUAGAUUUUUUUUUGUUUGUUUUUUGUUUUUUACCUAUGAACACAGGGCACUAGAGCCACUUUAGACUAAUUUUCUGAUCUUUAAUUAUUUUAACACUCCAGAGGAGGACUGGUUUUCUCCUGUGUUUUUUUAAUGUAUGGCAAGUGGAACCUCUAAUCGACCACCCUGUUUUUCAUCCUAACUCAGGCUUGCAGUAAAAUUAUCAGUUCCCACUUUCUUUGCUGCAUUCUCAAACGCAACACAUGAGACCAGCUUUCCCUUGCCAAUUUACAAUGCUGUUAACUAUAUGUCCUUUAUUAUACAUUUCGUUAAAGUUUUCUAUUAUUGGGUUUCUUUCUACUUCUCCCUACAGUUCUGGCAAUAUUUGCUUUUUAUAUUUAGAAGCCUCCCUUUUGGGUGCAUAAAUAUAUAAAGCUAUAUUCUCUUGAGAAAUUAACCUCUAUUAUUGUAUGGUAAACUCAUUUCAUUCUUGUGAGAGACAUUGCUAGAAAGUCUAUUUUGUCUAAUUUAAGCAUUACCAUUUCACUCCUUUGGUUAUUAUUUGCAUGGAAUAUCAUUUUCUAUCCUUUCACUUUUAGCCUAUGCUCUUAAUUCAUAAUUGAGUCUCUUGUAAGCAGCAUAUUAUGAGGUUUAAAAGAUUAAUUUAUCCACUCUGUCUGCUUUAGUCUCUUUUGGCUGCUAUAACAGAAUAUCACACACUGGUAAUUAAUAAAGAAUAGAAUUUUAUUUGACUCAUGAUUCUGGAGGCUGGGAAGCCAAAACAACAUUAUACUGGUAUAUGUUGAAGGUCUAGUUGCUGGAUAAUAACAUACACAAAGAUGUGAGGGAGAGAGAGCUUUUUUUUUUAAAUAUAUAACAGAUCCAUUCUUGUUAUAAUUAGCCCAUUCCCAUAAUAAGAACGUUAAUCCAUUCAUGAGGGCAGAGUGCUUAUAGCUUAAUUAAUUUUUAAAGGUUCCACCUGUUAAUUCUAACAUGUUGGCUAUUAAAUUUUAUCCUAAAUUUUGGAGAUGACAUUCAGUGUACAGCAGUAUCUGUUUAGUAGAUACUUUAAUCUUUUUAUUUGUAAGGUAGUGAUAGGUAAGCAGUUACUAUUGUACAUUUGUAGUUUUCUGUCCAUUUUAAGUUUGCUUCUUUUUUUUCUGGUUCUGUCUUUCCUGUGGUAUUGUUCAUUUUUGUUGAGACAAAGUUAUGCUUUCUUGCUCAGACUGAAGUGCAGUGGCAUAUCACAGCUCACUGUAGCCUUAACCUCCUGGGCUCAAAUAAUCGUCCCACCUUAGCCACCCAAGUAGCUUGGACUGCAGACAUGUACCACAACACCCAAGGAGAUUUGAUUCUUCCACCUUGGCCUCCCAAAGUGUUGGAAUUAUAAGCAGGAGACACCAUAUCCAAUGUGUAAUUUUUGUUGUUUGUGUAUGCUUUAAUUACUUUCUCUUUUUCUUUACUAUUUUUUUUUCCUACUGGUUAUCAUGAGACUUAUGUAAAACAUCUUGUAUUUUAAUAGUCUAGUUUAAGAUGAUAACAAUUUAUAGUAUUCUGAAAUUCAGUAUGUAUUUACCAUUUUAGUGACAUUUAUACUUUAGUAUUUUUCAUAUUGUUAGUUAGCAUUUCAUCAUAUCAAUGUGAAGAUUUCUUCCAGACCAUGGCUGGAGAAGGAAAGAAGGUGUGUUUUGCCUGAUUCAGGGACUAUAGAGAGAACCAAGUUCUGCAGGCCUGUCAUCUAAGUCUCAGGGCGGGGAGACCUUCCUUCCCCACGGGUUUGAGGCUAUGGCUAAGUGGUGAGCCUUGGUGAGACGCAGAAAGGAUCCAUCCCAGGCACUUGGCUAGAGGCUGAAUGCUAUCCCAGUGAUUGUACGUGCCCUGUUUGCUGAAUCUACUCAUCCUUAAGGGUACAUUUGCUUCCAGGUAACAUGUUUGUGACUAAUACUACAAUGUGCAUAUAUCUAUUCCAUGUUCUGCUUUGUCUGUUUGGGAUAUUUUUCAUACACUGAUUCAGUACCAUGUGUAUUCCCUUGCUUUUGUUGUCUCAUCCGUUGAUGUUACGUCCCCCAAAUUAUUGCCACGACCAGUUGUCAUGAAGCUUCACCCUUCUGUAUUGUGCUAGGAAUUUUACAGCUAUAGGUUUUACAUUAUAGUCUUCAUUCAUUUUUUAAAAUUGACACAUGUAAUUGUGCAUAUUUUGGGGAAACAAUUAUAUAUAUAUGUUGUAUAACAAUAAAAAUCAGAGUACUUCUAUACUUGUUGCCUCAUGCAUUUGUUAUUUUUGUGGUGAGAAUAUUCAAAAGCUUCUUCUCUAGCUAUUUUAUUUUAUCUUUAAGUAUUAAAUUUUUUUAGAGACAGGAUCUUGCUCUAACACCCAGACUGGUGUGCAGUGGUGCAAUCUUAGCUCACUGUAACUUCAAACAGUCUUCUAACCUUAGUUUCCCAAUUAGCUGAGACUACAGGAAGCUGCCACCAUGCCUGGCUAAUGUUUUAAUUUUUCAUAGAGACAGGGUCACACUAUGUUGUCCAGGCUCAUCUUGAACUUCUGACGUCAAGUGAUUCUCCUACCUCAGUCUCCCAAAAUGUAUGGAUUGCAAGAAUGUGCCACCGAAACUGGUCUCUUUUAGCUAUUUUGUAAUAUGAGAUAACUUUUCAUUAAUUAUUAUUAUUCUACUGUGUAAUAAAAAACAAAAACUUAUUUCCCCUAUCUAAUCAUAACACAAUACCUGUGAAGCAACCUUUUCCCAUCCUCCUGCUUCAGUCUCUGGUAACCCCUGUUGUACUCUUUGCUUCUAUCAACCCUUUUUUUCAGGUUCCUCAAAUGAGUGAGAUAAUAAGAUCAUAAAGUAUUUGUGUUUCUCUAUGUGGCUUAUUUUACUUAACAUGGUAUGCUCAAGGUUCAUCCAUGCUCUUUUAACUGACAGAAUUUUAUGCUUUCUUAUGGCUGAAUAGUAUUUCGCUGUGUAUAUAUAGUACAUUUUCCUUAUCCAUUUAUCUGUUGCUGUACAUUUGAAUUGAUUCCAUAUAUAAGCUAUUAUAAAUAGUUCUGUAAUGAACAUGGGAAUGCAAAUAUCUUUUUGACACAGUAAUAUCCUUUCUUUUGGAUAUACACCCAGAAGUAAAAUUGCUGGAUCAUAUAAUAGAUAUAUUUUUAAUUUCUUUCAGAAACCUCCAUACUAUUUUCUAUAAUGGCCAUACUAAUUUACAAUUCCACCAACAAGGUAUACAUCCACUCUUUUUUAUAUCCUCAUUAGUUCUUGAUUUAUUUAUUUAUUUUUAUUAUAGCCACUCUAAUGGGAAUGAGGCGGUACUUCAUUAUGGUUUGGAUUUGCAUUUCCUUGGUGAUUAGUAAUGUAGAGCAUCUUUUUAUGUUCCAGUUAGCAUUUUUGUAUCUCUUUUUGACAAACAUCUAUUAAGAUCUUUUGCAUUUUUAAAGUUAGAUUAUAAGUGUAUUUUAUUUUGAGAUUUUAAAGUUUCUUAUAUAUUCUGAAUAUUAGCCUUUUGUCACAUGUAUAUGAAAACAUUUUCUGUCAUUGCCUAAGCUGUCUCUUCAAACUUCUAGUUGUUUUUUUAAUAUGGAAAAGCAUUUUAGUUUGACAUAAUGUUGUUUGCUUAUUCUCGAUUUUGUUGCCCAUGUUUUGAAAUCUUAUUUUAAUAAUCCUUUCCCCAUCCAAUGUUAUAAAGCAUUUUUUUAUGUUUUUCUCUAAUAGUUUCAUAAUUGAUGGCAUUACAUUUAAGUCUUUAGUUUUAGUUGAUUAUCAUAUAUGGCAAGGUACAAGGGUCUAGUAUUAUUUUUCUGCAUAUAAAUAUUUAAGUGGCCCUGCACCAUUUAUUAAAGAGAUUAGCUUUUCUCUAAAGUGUGUUCUUGGCAAUUUUGUUGACAAUCAGUUGGCUUUAGGUGCAUAAAUUAACUUCUGGGCUUAUUCGGCACAUUAGUCUAUGAGUUUGUUUUUAUGCCAGUACAGUGCUGUUUUGGUUACUGUAGCUUUAUAGCAAGUUUUGAAGUUUGAUGAAGUGAUGCCUUUAGCUUUGCUUAUUUUGCUCAAAGUUGCUUUGUCUAUUCAGAGUUUUUUGUGGAUCCAUAUAAAUUUAAAUUUUUUUUAUUUCUGUGAAAAAAUGUCAUUGGUACUUUGAUAAAAAUCACAUUAAGUCUGUAGAUCACUUUGGGUAGAUAGAUCAAGAGUAUUCUUCCAGUGUAUAAACACAAUAUUUUUUCAUUUAUUCAUUUGUAUUUUAUAUUUUUUAUCCAUGUUUUGUCGUUUUCAGAGUAGAGAUCUUUUACCUUUUUAGUUAAGUUUGUUGCUAGGUGUAUUAGUUGGGCUUCCCUAGAGAGAUCAUGAGAUCCCACAAUAGGUUGUCUGCAAGUUUGAGGAGCAAGGAGAGGCGGUCCAUGUCCCAAAGCUGAAGAACUUGGAGUCUGAUGUUUGAGGGCUGCAAGUGUCCAGCACAGGAGAAAGAUGUAGUCUGGGAGCUUAGGCCAGUCUCUCUUUUUCACGUUUUUCUGCCUGCUUUAUAUUCACUGUCAGCUCAUUAGAUGGUGCUCACCCAAUUAAGAGUGGAUCUCCCUUUCCCAGCCCACUGACUCAAAUGUUAAUCUCCUUUGGCAACACCCUCACAGACACACCCA
Molecule: long non-coding RNA, 5242 nt
Filed under: Homo sapiens (human)
Lineage: Eukaryota; Metazoa; Chordata; Mammalia; Primates; Hominidae
Description: HSALNT0402584
Source: RNAcentral